UUUGCUGACGAGUGGCGGACGGGUGAGUAAUGUCUGGGAAACUGCCUGAUGGAGGGGGAUAACUACUGGAAACGGUAGCUAAUACCGCAUAACGUCGCAAGACCAAAGAGGGGGACCUUCGGGCCUCUUGCCAUCGGAUGUGCCCAGAUGGGAUUAGCUAGUAGGUGGGGUAACGGCUCACCUAGGCGACGAUCCCUAGCUGGUCUGAGAGGAUGACCAGCCACACUGGAACUGAGACACGGUCCAGACUCCUACGGGAGGCAGCAGUGGGGAAUAUUGCACAAUGGGCGCAAGCCUGAUGCAGCCAUGCCGCGUGUAUGAAGAAGGCCUUCGGGUUGUAAAGCACUUUCAGCGGGGAGGAAGGGAGUAAAGUUAAUACCUUUGCUCAUUGACGUUACCCGCAGAAGAAGCACCGGCUAACUCCGUGCCAGCAGCCGCGGUAAUACGGAGGGUGCAAGCGUUAAUCGGAAUUACUGGGCGUAAAGCGCACGCAGGCGGUUUGUUAAGUCAGAUGUGAAAUCCCCGGGCUCAACCUGGGAACUGCAUCUGAUACUGGCAAGCUUGAGUCUCGUAGAGGGGGGUAGAAUUCCAGGUGUAGCGGUGAAAUGCGUAGAGAUCUGGAGGACUACCGGUGGCGAAGGCAGCCCCCUGGACGAAGACUGACGCUCAUGUGCGAAAGCGUGGGGAGCAAACAAGAUUAUAUACCCUGGUAGUCCACGCCGUAAACGAUGUCUACUUGGAGGUUGUGCCCUUGAGGCGUGGCUUCCGGAGCUAACGCGUUCAGUCGACCGCCUGGGGAGU
Molecule: ribosomal RNA, 801 nt
Filed under: uncultured bacterium
Lineage: Bacteria
Description: bacterial SSU rRNA
Rfam family: Bacterial small subunit ribosomal RNA
Source: RNAcentral